AACUCUGUUAGCAAAAUCUAGCCCGUUUCCAACCUCUGACUCACACAUUACGUGACGUGAAUGGUGCGGAAUGAUUAUGUUCUCACUGGGAAAAAGGUUCUUCCGAAGCCCAUGAAUGCUAGGACAGAGGUGUCAGGGGC
Molecule: long non-coding RNA, 140 nt
Organism: Alosa sapidissima (American shad)
Lineage: Eukaryota; Metazoa; Chordata; Actinopteri; Clupeiformes; Clupeidae
Exons: 3
Source: RefSeq, a predicted model, not a curated record